AACGAUAAUCAAUAAUUUUAUUAAAUCAUUGGCUUAAAUUUCUGCGCCGAACGCUCUGCGCAAUACAUGUGUGCGUGUAUAGUAGGCGCCGGCUUCGCUACGUAGUAGACGUAGACCGUUGCAACUCGUGGUUAUCACGUGUACAGUAACUCGCAUUGACUUGUUUUGCUGUGUAAAGGAAAAGAGAAUAUUACUAAACAUUUUGGCAAGGAGGAUUCUACGUAUAAUAUCUUGAGUAAUACGUACAUACUUUUGAUAUAUGUAUAUAUUAGCAUUUCAUUAAUAGAUCCUUAACAGGAAAGGAAAAUCAGCCUCGUUAAGUUUAUAAUAUUUAUAAUGCUCUUUCUAAGUUUUUUUUAUGUUCAAUGAUU
Nylanderia fulva is the source of this 371-nucleotide long non-coding RNA. RefSeq lists it as uncharacterized. The record is from RefSeq and is a predicted model, not a curated record. Lineage: Eukaryota; Metazoa; Arthropoda; Insecta; Hymenoptera; Formicidae.